RNAcentral lists this ribosomal RNA (460 nucleotides) under uncultured bacterium. RNAcentral's name for it is "partial 16S ribosomal RNA". It matches the Rfam family "Bacterial small subunit ribosomal RNA", at positions 338 to 795 of the family's 1533-position model. The record is from RNAcentral.
CCUACGGGUGGCAGCAGUGAGGAAUAUUGGUCAAUGGGGGCGAGCCUGAACCAGCCAAGUAGCGUGAAGGAUGACGGCUCUACGGGUUGUAAACUUCUUUUAUAAAGGAAUAAAGUGAGGCACGUGUGCCUUUUGGAAUGUCCUUUAUGGAUAAGGAUCGGCUAACUCCGUGCCAGCAGCCGCGGUAAUACGGAGGAUCCGAGCGUUAUCCGGAUUUAAUGGGUUUAAAGGGAGCGUAGAUGGGUUGUUAAGUCAGUUGUGAAAGUUUGCGGCUCAACCGUAAAAUUGCAAUUGAUACUGGCAGUCUUGAGUACAGGUGAGGUAGGCGGAAUUCGUGGUGUAGCGGUGAAAUGCUUAGAUAUCACGAAGAACUCCGAUUGCGAAGGCAGCUUACUAAACUGCAACUGACAUUGAUGCUCGAAAGUGUGGGUAUCAAACAGGAUUAGAUACCCCAGUAGUC